Molecule: ribosomal RNA, 449 nt
Filed under: uncultured prokaryote
Description: bacterial SSU rRNA
Rfam family: Bacterial small subunit ribosomal RNA
Source: RNAcentral
UCGGGAAUAUUGGACAAUGGGCGCAAGCCUGAUCCAGCCAUGCCGCGUGUGUGAAGAAGGCCUUCGGGUUGUAAAGCACUUUCAGGGGUGAAGAAAAGCCGGGUGUGAAUAAUGCCUGGUCUUGACGUUAGCUCCAGAAGAAGCACCGGCUAACUCCGUGCCAGCAGCCGCGGUAAUACGGAGGGUGCGAACGUUAAUCGGAAUUACUGGGCGUAAAGCGCGCGUAGGCGGCUUGUUAAGUCAGAUGUGAAAGCCCCGGGCUCAACCUGGGAAUUGCAUUUGAAACUGGCAGGCUGGAGUGCAGUAGAGGAAGGUGGAAUUCAGGGUGUAGCGGUGAAAUGCGUAGAUAUCCUGAGGAACACCGGUGGCGAAGGCGGCCUUCUGGACUGACACUGACGCUGAGGUGCGAAAGCGUGGGGAGCAAACAGGAUUAGAUACCCCCGUAGUCC